CUACGGGCGGCACCAGUGGGGAAUAUUGGACAAUGGGGGAAACCCUGAUCCAGCAAUGCCGCGUGUGUGAAGAAGGCCUGCGGGUUGUAAAGCACUUUCGGUUGGGAGGACUGCUUCUAGCACUAAUAUUGUUGGAAGUUGACGUUACCUUCAGAAGAAGCACCGGCUAACUCCGUGCCAGCAGCCGCGGUAAUACGGAGGGUGCAAGCGUUGAGCGGAAGUACUGGGCGGAAAGCGCGCGUAGGCGGCUAGAUCAGUCGGGUGUGAAAGCCCCGGGCUUAACCUGGGAACUGCAUCCGAUACUGUCUAGCUAGAGUACAGGAGAGGAGAGUGGAAUUCCACAUGUAGCGGUGAAAUGCGUAGAUAUGUGGAGGAACACCAAUGGCGAAGGCAGCUCUCUGGCCUGAUACUGACGCUGAGGUGCGAAAGCGUGGGGAGCAAACAGGAUUAGAUACCCGAGUAGUC
Molecule: ribosomal RNA, 465 nt
Filed under: uncultured bacterium
Lineage: Bacteria
Description: partial 16S ribosomal RNA
Rfam family: Bacterial small subunit ribosomal RNA
Source: RNAcentral